Molecule: long non-coding RNA, 765 nt
Organism: Amphibalanus amphitrite
Lineage: Eukaryota; Metazoa; Arthropoda; Thecostraca; Balanomorpha; Balanidae
Exons: 3
Source: RefSeq, a predicted model, not a curated record
GGUGCAUUGCACAUGUCGAUGUAAUGAGUGCACAUACUCUGUGACGUCAGAGACAACGUUUUGCACCGAGAGAGUAAAAUGGCGACUCUGCGUUCCGGGCACUCAGUAGUCUGCUCAGCGUGAGCAGCGAGCCAUCGCUCACAGUGCUCCCGCGCCCGUCUCUGGCCGGUUCCUGCUAGCCGCUGUUCAUGCGGUAACUAUGAAGCUGUUCCACUUGCUACUGCUGCUGGGAGUUGUCUGCAUUGUCAUUGAUAGCGUCUGCAGCGAUCCGCGACGUCGUGGCUGGAGAGGCAGAAGAAGAGGCUGGAGAAGGGGCAUAGCAAGGAGUCGAUUUUGCAGAAAAUUCCGAAUUUUUUGCUUCUUGAUCUUCUUGCGACGAGCCAGGACAACAGCUGCACCAACAACAACGCCAACUACAACAACUGAGACCACAACAACCGAUACCACUACUGAACUUACAACAACUGAAACAACAACGGAGUCUACGACAACCGAGACGACAACUGAAACGACAACUGUACCUACCACAACCGAAACGACCACUGAACCUACCACAACUGAAACGACCACUGAAACUACGACAACUGAAACAACAACAGUGACAACAACUCCAUCGACUGCGGCACCGACUCCAGCAUAACCGUCGGUCGCAUUCACCAGUGAAGAACAUCCAACGCCAUCCGAUCGUGUGACAUUAUCCGGAAUUGGAGGUGACAAAAAAAUUCACAAGGGGAGGGACUGAAAAUAAAAGUUGUGUUCGGAUCA